Molecule: ribosomal RNA, 216 nt
Filed under: Glomeromycotina sp.
Lineage: Eukaryota; Fungi; Glomeromycota
Description: partial small subunit ribosomal RNA
Rfam family: Eukaryotic small subunit ribosomal RNA (bases 40-216)
Source: RNAcentral
GGGUCAGUAGGUUGGUCGUGCCACCGGUACGUACUGGUCUCACUGAUUCCUCCUUCCUGAAGAACCGUAAUGCCAUUAAUUUGGUGUUGCGGGGAGACAGGACUGUUACUUUGAAAAAAUUAGAGUGUUUAAAGCAAGCCAACGCUUGAAUACAUUAGCAUGGAAUAAUGAAAUAGGACGAUCGAUCCUAUUUUGUUGGUUUCUAGGAUUGACGUA